RNAcentral lists this non-coding RNA (180 nucleotides) under Mycoplasma sp. Its description in RNAcentral is "T-box sequence". It matches the Rfam family "T-box leader". Rfam says of the family: Uncharged tRNA acts as the effector for transcription antitermination of genes in the T-box leader family. T-boxes are found upstream of many aminoacyl-tRNA synthetase genes and some amino acid biosynthetic genes usually in Gram-positive bacteria. The record is from RNAcentral. Lineage: Bacteria; Bacillati; Mycoplasmatota; Mollicutes; Mycoplasmatales; Mycoplasmataceae.
AUAAAAGCGAUGAACAAGAGGAGUACAGUACUGGAUUUUUUAGAGAGUUCUAGGGUGGUGGAAUAGAAUAUUGAAGGUAUUGGAAGGUUGCUUGGGAGCUGGUUUUUAAAAACCCGUAUGUAAUACGUUAAAAAUUUAAGUGAAAUAAAAGGUGGUACCGUGCAUUUAUGCACCCUUUGG